UAUAAUUCUAGAUUUUCUUCUUUAAUUGUUAAAGUUAUUAGUGAUAUUCUUGGUUUCCUUUCCGGUUUUCUCCAAAACAUGAAAGAUGACCCACUUUGUAAAUGUGGGUAUCCAUCUCAUUUGAAAAUUUUAUGGUCAAAUGACAAUUCGGGAAAAAGAUUUUUUGGUUGUAAGAACUAUAAGGUUAAAGGUCGUAAGGCUUGUAAUUGUUUUGAGUGGUAUGAACCGAAAUUUUUAAAACAAGCUAAUGUUGUUAUUUUGGGUUUGUUGAAGAAGAGAAAUAAGCAAGAGCAAGAGCUGAAGUGAGAAGAACAUUGAAGAUCAGAUUAUGUAUUAGUGUAGUAUGAAAUGUGAUAUUGUAUUUUGGUGUGUGUCCAAUUUAAUCUAAUUUUGAUUGGUAUCUAUGUAUUUGAUAAAUAGUAGAAUGAAUUGUAAUAUUUAGAGCAUAGGAUGGGAUGAGAUUAUCAUUCCUAAUUUUCAUGAUAAUCACAACACUACUGCCAAAUGCUUUCUUUCCUUA
Long non-coding RNA from Nicotiana tabacum (common tobacco), 520 nucleotides. RefSeq lists it as uncharacterized. NCBI's taxonomy places the organism in Eukaryota, Viridiplantae, Streptophyta, Magnoliopsida, Solanales, Solanaceae. The record is from RefSeq and is a predicted model, not a curated record.